UUAACCCUCUAAGCGAGAUUUAGUGAGUUAAACUCACCGGAUUAGCGAGCCGAGCGGACCAAAACGACGGGGACGCCGAGGAGAACAACUUUCCUCAAAGCGGGCUGAGCAUCCGAGCUCGGGAAGGCAGCCAAAACGGGCCAAACGUCCGCUGCAUACCCAUUUUUUUUCCAGCUGCUGUCCAUUGCGAUUUGAGGCCGAGGAAGGGUAGAUCCGGAGCUUGGAUGAGAUGGGGAAGGAUCGGGGAAGGUUGAGGGGUCGAACCGGCCCAAGGAGGGACCCGAACGGUGGCCGGAGGUGGCCGAACGGCUCCGGCACGGGUUGAUACAGCAGCUGCG
This 338-nucleotide long non-coding RNA is filed under the name Eucalyptus grandis. RNAcentral's name for it is "long non-coding RNA (EGRA_LNC005993)". Lineage: Eukaryota; Viridiplantae; Streptophyta; Magnoliopsida; Myrtales; Myrtaceae. The record is from RNAcentral.